UACGGGGGGUGCGAGCGUUGUUCGGAAUUAUUGGGCGUAAAGCGCGUGCAGGCGGUUUUGUAAGUCUGAUGUGAAAGCCCCGGGCUCAACCCGGGAAGUGCAUUGGAUACUGCAAGACUUGAGUUCGGGAGAGGAGAGUGGAAUUCCUGGAGUAGGGGUGAAAUCCGUAGAUAUCAGGAAGAACACCGGUGGCGAAGGCGGCUCUCUGGACCGAUACUGACGUUGAGAUGCGAAAGCGUGGGUAGCAAACAGG
This 253-nucleotide ribosomal RNA is filed under the name uncultured bacterium. RNAcentral describes it as "partial 16S ribosomal RNA". It matches the Rfam family "Bacterial small subunit ribosomal RNA", at positions 524 to 776 of the family's 1533-position model. The record is from RNAcentral.